AUUGCCUACGGGAGGCAGCAGUCGGGAAUAUUGCACAAUGGAGGAAACUCUGAUGCAGUGACACCGCGUAUAGGAAGAAGGUUUUCGGAUUGUAAACUAUUUUAGACAGGGAAGAAAAAAGACAGUACCUGUAGAAUAAGCUCCGGCUAACUACGUGCCAGCAGCCGCGGUAAUACGUAGGGGGCAAGCGUUAUCCGGAUUUACUGGGUGUAAAGGGAGCGUAGACGGUAUGGCAAGUCUGAAGUGAAAGCCCAGAGCUUAACCCUGGGACUGCUUUGGAAACUGUUAGACUAGAGUGCUG
RNAcentral lists this ribosomal RNA (301 nucleotides) under uncultured bacterium. RNAcentral's name for it is "bacterial SSU rRNA". It matches the Rfam family "Bacterial small subunit ribosomal RNA", at positions 334 to 651 of the family's 1533-position model. The record is from RNAcentral.